This 221-nucleotide long non-coding RNA is filed under the name Elaeis guineensis (African oil palm). RNAcentral describes it as "long non-coding RNA (EGUI_LNC057163)". The record is from RNAcentral. Lineage: Eukaryota; Viridiplantae; Streptophyta; Magnoliopsida; Arecales; Arecaceae.
GGGUGCCUCCUCCUUCUUUUUCCACCAUGGACCACCAGAAAAAGAUGCAGAUAAUAUGUUAUAAAAGUCAUAAAAAUCUCAAAAAAAAAUUGACUAAAUCAGUGCCAUAAGGAAAGAGUUUUGGUUUCCUAAAACUCUAUCUCAUAGAAUUUGAAAUCCAAACUAAUUCCUUCUUUGACUUGAUCCACAACUACAUUCCAUGUAUGAGAGAGAGAGAGGAA